RNAcentral lists this unclassified non-coding RNA (2425 nucleotides) under Eufriesea mexicana. RNAcentral describes it as "sodium-independent sulfate anion transporter, transcript variant X1". Lineage: Eukaryota; Metazoa; Arthropoda; Insecta; Hymenoptera; Apidae. The record is from RNAcentral.
CUGGGUGAUUGGUCAGAAUUGAGAACAUUUAACGGGAAGCUCGAGAAUACUCAAAAUCCGGAUACGAGCCUAUGUAAAAGAGGAACGUUUGUUCGGUAAAUUGGCGAUAAUCUGCGUUUGCCAAACCCAGUGUUCAUUUAGAAAAGGACCGACGCAUGCGUUCGCAUCCUGACGGACAUAUCAGCAGGUUCAUAAAGUGGUGGGAGAGCCAGGCACGUGUGAAACAGCUGUAGAUUUAAUCAGUGUAUAGAGCAAGUACGAGGCGACGCAUCAAUCGGUAAGCUUCUCCUGCCCAAGGAACGUAUCGUCGACUGGCGGUCAUUUUUUGUCGAGUAUCCUUCGGGGAACACCAAGUCGUGGUGAAUCAUUCGGUGCGAUGCGUUCUACGCGACAGAGGAAAGUGAAACAGGAAUAAAACCUCGUGGUGAACGGUGCAGUGAAACGCCGUAGUACCAGAUCCGUGGUAACUGUUAACGAGGAAACUGGAGAAUCACGUGCUUAAACGCUCUCACGUGGCCAUUGAUCAGGACUCCAAAUUACCACGAUGUGCUGAAACGUAUGGUUUGAAUCAGAGGAAAACUCAUUCGUAAGACGAAAGGAAAUAUUUGUGACAUGACUGGGUUCAAUGUUAAGAAAUUACUGAAGAACAGAAUUCCUGUUCUAAAGUGGUUACCCCUGUACAGAGCCAACGAUGCAUUGGGUGACCUGGUUGCGGGACUGACGGUGGGCCUGACCCUGAUACCACAGGCGAUCGCAUACGCUGGACUUGCAGGUUUGACGCCGCAGUAUGGCCUUUACAGUGCGUUCGCUGGCAGUUUCGUUUACAUAAUUUUUGGUACCUGUCGAGAAGUCAAUAUUGGCCCAACCGCAUUGAUUUCUUUGCUGACGUACACAUACGCGAGAGGUAUCCCCGAGUACGCUGUCCUCCUUUGCUUUUUGUCAGGAUGCGUUACCAUAGUCCUCGGAAUCCUCCGGUUAGGAUUCUUGGUCGAGUUCGUGUCCAUACCAGUCGUUUCUGGAUUCACAUCAGCGGCCAGCUUAAUUAUCGCCUGCAGUCAAAUCAAAAGUUUGCUGGGCUUGAAAAUACACGGAGAAAGUUUCAUUGAGAUUUGGAGAGAAUUGGCCAAGAACGUGGGUCGUACCAGGAUCCCUGACCUGAUCUUGUCUUGCUGCUGCAUUCUAAUACUGUUGACCCUGAAGAGAAUCAAAGACGUCAAGGUCUCGAAUCGAAUUUUAAGAAAAUUAACCUGGUUCCUGGGAACUGGUAGAAACGCACUCGUGGUAAUUUUAUGCGCAGCAGUGUCGUAUAUAUUUGAAAAUCGCGGUGGAGCACCUUUCAUCCUUACAGGCCACAUCGACGGCGGACUACCCUCCGUUGCUCCGCCACCCUUCUCGAUCACUGCCGGGAAUCACACUGAAACUUUUGCUGAUAUGUGCAAAAAUUUGGGCACCGGCAUUGCGAUCGUUCCACUGAUCUCCAUAAUCGGGAAUGUGGCCAUCGCGAAGGCGUUUUCUCGAGGAGAGUCACUCGAUGCCACUCAGGAAAUGCUAACUUUGGGACUAUGCAACGUUGCUGGCUCGUUCUUCCAUUCGAUGCCGGUCACGGGUUCCUUUUCCAGAAGCGCCGUGAACGACGCAUCGGGCGUAAGGACGCCCUUGGGUGGUAUCUAUACAGGUAUUCUAGUCAUUCUCGCUCUAAGCUUACUGACGCCGUACUUCUAUUACAUUCCAAGAGCGACCUUAAGUUCUGUGAUAGUUUGCGCGGUGAUAUUUAUGGUCGAGGUGAAAAUGAUACGGCCAAUUUGGAAAUGCAGCAAACGAGAUCUGAUCCCGACUUUCGCAACAUUCUUCGCAUGCUUAUUCGCCGGUGUCGAAUUGGGAAUUUUAAUAGGAGUGGCGAUUGAUCUGGCAAUAUUAAUUUAUUUUAACGCCAGGCCGACAAUAUAUAUUGAAUACAGAAAUACUCCUACGUUAAACUACAUCCUCGUGCGUCCCAGCGCCGGGUUGCUUUUCCCAGCGGUGGAUUACCUGAGGAUGUACCUGUUAGAGAACUUAGCUAAUGAUCACCAUAAAUUACUGAAAACCUUCAAGAACACGAAAAAUGUCAUUCUAGACUGCAAGCACAUCGAUAAAAUUGAUUUCACUGCGGCGCGUGUACGGAUAAUAAUCUUAAGUAGCGGGGCUUCGAAUUUGGCCUGGAUUUUACUUCUUCGAGCCUUCUUCCUUUUUACAUCAAUGUUAUAAACAUACUUCUCUUUUUCCUUUUUGUCCUGUUUACAGAGAAAAUAGCGAAGUAGAGACUUUUAUGUUACGACGAUAACGAAGAAAAAAUAUAACUCGAUUGCUCAACAAUCGCUCAAAGAUGGAUUAAAUAUGGUAAUGAGAGAUUUCAAGGAAAAGAAUCAUCAUUUGAUAAUGCUGCGAC